Molecule: ribosomal RNA, 254 nt
Filed under: uncultured bacterium
Lineage: Bacteria
Description: partial 16S ribosomal RNA
Rfam family: Bacterial small subunit ribosomal RNA
Source: RNAcentral
CACGUAGGGGCCAAGCGUUGUCCGGAUUUAUUGGGCGUAAAGAGCUCGUAGGCGGUUCGGUAAGUCAGGUGUGAAACCUCCAGGCUCAACCUGGAGACGCCACCUGAUACUGCUGUGACUGGAGUCCGGUAGGGGAGCGUGGAAUUCCUGGUGUAGCGGUGAAAUGCGCAGAUAUCAGGAGGAACACCAGCGGCGAAGGCGGCGCUCUGGGCCGGUACUGACGCUGAGGAGCGAAAGCGUGGGUAGCAAACAGG